This 1124-nucleotide ribosomal RNA is filed under the name uncultured bacterium. RNAcentral describes it as "bacterial SSU rRNA". It matches the Rfam family "Bacterial small subunit ribosomal RNA", at positions 47 to 1162 of the family's 1533-position model. The record is from RNAcentral.
AUUGAUUUUAUGCUUGCAUAAAUGAUUUUUUGGAUUCGAAGCGAGUGGCGAACUGGUGAGUAACACGUGGGUAACCUGCCCCGAAGCGGGGGAUAACAUUUGGAAACAAGUGCUAAUACCGCAUAAUUAGUUGGAACCGCAUGGUUCCAACUUGAAAGAUGGCUCUGCUAUCACUUUGGGAUGGACCCGCGCCGUAUUAGUUAGUUGGUGAGAUAAAGGCCCACCAAGACGAUGAUACGUAGCCGACCUGAGAGGGUAAUCGGCCACAUUGGGACUGAGACACGGCCCAGACUCCUACGGGAGGCAGCAGUAGGGAAUCUUCCACAAUGGACGAAAGUCUGAUGGAGCAACGCCGCGUGAGUGAUGAAGGUUUUCGGAUCGUAAAACUCUGUUGUUAAAGAAGAACAAGUGUUAGAGUAACUGUUAACACUUUGACGGUAUUUAACCAGAAAGCCACGGCUAACUACGUGCCAGCAGCCGCGGUAAUACGUAGGUGGCAAGCGUUGUCCGGAUUUAUUGGGCGUAAAGCGAGCGCAGGCGGUUUUGUAAGUCUGCUGUGAAAGCCCUCAGCUCAACUGAGGAAGUGCAGUGGAAACUACAAAACUUGAGUACAGAAGAGGAAAGUGGAACUCCAUGUGUAGUGGUGAAAUGCGUAGAUAUAUGGAAGAACACCAGUGGCGAAGGCGGCUUUCUGGUCUGUUACUGACGCUGAGGCUCGAAAGCAUGGGUAGCGAACAGGAUUAGAUACCCUGGUAGUCCAUGCCGUAAACGAUGAAUACUAGGUGUUGGAGGGUUUCCGCCCUUCAGUGCCGCAGCUAGCGCAUUAAGUAUUCCGCCUGGGGAGUACGACCGCAAGGUUGAAACUCAAAGGAAUUGACGGGGGCCCGCACAAGUGGUGGAGCAUGUGGUUUAAUUCGAUGCUACGCGAAGAACCUUACCAGCUCUUGACAUCUUCUGCCAACCCAAGAGAUUGGGCGUUCCCUUCGGGGACAGAAUGACAGGUGGUGCAUGGUUGUCGUCAGCUCGUGUCGUGAGAUGUUGGGUUAAGUCCCGCAACGGGCGCAACCCUUAUUAUUAGUUGCCAGCAUUUAGUUGGGCACUCUAGUGAGACUGCCGGUGAUAAA